UAGGCUGCUGAUCAGUCACGCACUAACCCCGAACAUGGCACACACACAUUGGCCUAUAAUUGACCACGAAUCUGGUCUGACCACGAAUCUGGUCCACAUAUUUUAUAAAAACUAAUCCAGUUCUAACAAUUUAGAUCAAUAAACAAUUCAAUCAACAGAACAGAAUUAUAAUCAUUAUAAACAACAGAAAUAUUCCAAAUUAACUUUUGAGAAUCAACAUUUCAUAGACCACAGUUUGUCUUUUGAUAAAUCAUAGUUCAGGAAAUUCCUAACUAUUCAGUAUCCUCCAUUAUCGGCUAAGCAACUGAAUUUAGCCUGCUAAACCAGCAUGACAAUGGCGGGUUGAAUAAUCAAGAAGAUCCCAAUUCAUUCAAAGCUCUAACUAUCACUGAGCAACACAUGCUUCAAUGACAAUCUGAACUUCGAAUUAAUUUGUAAAACGGAAAUUCUUUAGAAACUUGAAGAUUAGAAAGAAUGGUUCAGAAUACUCGCACUUUCGAACAUUGAAAAGAAAGGUAUGAAUACUUGAAACAUAUACCAAAGGAAUGGAUCAGAAUAUUUGCAAUAUAUCCAAGAGAAAGGUGUAGGAUACUUGCAACACAUGUAA
This 607-nucleotide long non-coding RNA is filed under the name Daucus carota (carrot). RNAcentral's name for it is "long non-coding RNA (DCAR_LNC007312)". Lineage: Eukaryota; Viridiplantae; Streptophyta; Magnoliopsida; Apiales; Apiaceae. The record is from RNAcentral.